AACUCUGGCAUCUCCUCACUUGCGGACAAAUCUUUCGCCUUUUACUAAAGAUUUCCGUGUGGAGGUGCAGCACAAUGAGUCUAUAGAGUCAUUUUUGCACUGCCCCGACGCGGCUUCGCUGUUAAGGCCGUGA
Molecule: small nuclear RNA, 133 nt
Filed under: Taenia solium (pork tapeworm)
Lineage: Eukaryota; Metazoa; Platyhelminthes; Cestoda; Cyclophyllidea; Taeniidae
Description: U5 snRNA
Rfam family: U5 spliceosomal RNA (bases 1-116)
About the family: U5 RNA is a component of both types of known spliceosome. The precise function of this molecule is unknown, though it is known that the 5' loop is required for splice site selection and p220 binding, and that both the 3' stem-loop and the Sm site are important for Sm protein binding and cap methylation.
Source: RNAcentral